GGAUGUGAAAAUGAACUGGCUGCAACAUCUACUAUCCUAUUGGUUGCCAGAGUUGAUUCGGCUGAUCUGGCUGGUUAGACGGGUGCCCCCUCCCUCCCUCACAGCUCCACGUACAUCCAUCCCAAAGCUGCAUGCUCAGUGGAAAAGGAUGAGCAUCCCAAACAGAAGGACUGUACCAUUCUUCAGUUAAGGGUGAAGGAGGCUUUCUAUUUUCUGCUGUGGUAUAUUUUCGCUACUUCAUGAUACUCUGCCCUGGAGGAUCAUUUUGAAUUCAUUAUGUAGGAUUGUGUUAACAAACAUAUGUUAUUUGUUUAACA
Molecule: small RNA, 317 nt
Filed under: Salvator merianae (Argentine black and white tegu)
Lineage: Eukaryota; Metazoa; Chordata; Lepidosauria; Squamata; Teiidae
Description: 7SK RNA (ENSSMRG00000006389.1)
Rfam family: 7SK RNA (bases 1-202)
About the family: 7SK was discovered as an abundant small nuclear RNA in the mid-70s but a possible function has only recently been suggested. Two independent studies have found that 7SK RNA binds the CDK9/cyclin T complex (known as elongation factor P-TEFb).
Source: RNAcentral